This 432-nucleotide ribosomal RNA is filed under the name uncultured bacterium. RNAcentral's name for it is "partial 16S ribosomal RNA". It matches the Rfam family "Bacterial small subunit ribosomal RNA", at positions 28 to 507 of the family's 1533-position model. The record is from RNAcentral.
GAUGAACGCUGGCGGUAUGCUUAACACAUGCAAGUCGAACGGUCACUUCGGUGAUAGUGGCGGACGGGUGAGUAACGCGUGAGAAUCUGUCUUCAGGUCGGGGACAACAGUUAGAAAUGACUGCUAAUACCGGAUGUGCCUUUGGGUGAAAGAUUUAUUGCCUGAAAAAGAGCUCGCGUCAGAUUAGCUAGUAGGUGGUGUAAGAGACUACCUAGGCUCCGAUCUGUAGCUGGUCUGAGAGGACGAUCAGCCACACUGGAACUGAGACACGGCCCAGACUCCUACGGGAGGCAGCAGUGGGGAAUUUUCCGCAAUGGGCGAAAGCCUGACGGAGCAAUACCGCGUGAGGGACGAAGGCUUUUGGGUCGUAAACCUCUUUUCUCAAGGAAGAUGAUGACGGUACUUGAGGAAUAAGCAUCGGCUAACCCUGUG